This 253-nucleotide ribosomal RNA is filed under the name uncultured bacterium. RNAcentral's name for it is "partial 16S ribosomal RNA". It matches the Rfam family "Bacterial small subunit ribosomal RNA", at positions 524 to 776 of the family's 1533-position model. The record is from RNAcentral.
GACGAACCGAGCGAACGUUGUUCGGAAUCACUGGGCUUAAAGGGCGCGUAGGCGGGCUGCCAAGUCAAGGGUGAAAGCCCCCGGCUCAACCGGGGAAGUGCCUCUGAUACUGGCGGCCUCGAGGGAGGUAGGGGCGUGCGGAACUUCCGGUGGAGCGGUGAAAUGCGUAGAUAUCGGAAGGAACACCGGUGGCGAAAGCGGCGCGCUGGACCUCUUCUGACGCUGAGGCGCGAAAGCCAGGGGAGCGAACGGG